GCUUUUAUUAGUACAAAAACCCUUCAGGCUUUCGGGCCAGACAGAAGUGGUGACUCUAGAUAACAUUGCUGAGCGAAAUGCCUUGUCCCCGCAAGGGGGCAGCCACCCGCCUCUCUGGGGCGCGGUGGUGAGCGCAGUCGCCGAAUCCAACGAGUGUCUGACUUAUCAGCUGUCGACUGUAGGUUAAACGCCUACAGUGGCUAUAACGGGUAACGGGGAAUCAGGGUUCGAUUCCGGAGAGGGAGCCUGAGAGAUGGCUACCACAUCUAAGGAAGGCAGCAGGCGCGCAACUUACCCACUCCCGGCACGGGGAGGUAGUGACGAAAAAUACCGUUGCUGGACUCUUUCGAGUCUUUGCUUCGGAAUGAGUACACUUUAAAUCCUUGCACGAGGAUCUAGUGGAGGGAAAGUCUGGUGCCAGCAGCCGCGGUAAUUCCAGCUCCACUAGCAUAUAUUAAAGUUGCUGCGGCUAAAACGCUCGUAGUUCGAUCUCUGUCCGGGACAGGCGGUUUGCUGUAGUGGCAAUCAGGUCCUGUUUCC
RNAcentral lists this ribosomal RNA (540 nucleotides) under Acetes indicus. Its description in RNAcentral is "bacterial SSU rRNA". It matches the Rfam family "Eukaryotic small subunit ribosomal RNA", at positions 203 to 689 of the family's 1831-position model. Lineage: Eukaryota; Metazoa; Arthropoda; Malacostraca; Decapoda; Sergestidae. The record is from RNAcentral.